UACAACAUAGCAUUAAUGAACCAUAUCCCAUUAUAACUCUGCAAUUAAUCACACUCAAGCUAGAAUAGUACUAGGAUGGGUGACCACCUAGGAAGUCCUAGUGUUUUAC
Non-coding RNA from Picea glauca (white spruce), 109 nucleotides. The record is from Rfam. NCBI's taxonomy places the organism in Eukaryota, Viridiplantae, Streptophyta, Pinopsida, Pinales, Pinaceae.